AGAGUUUGAUCCUGGCUCAGAGCGAACGCUGGCGGCAGGCCUAAAACAUGCAAGUCGAACGGACCCUUUCGGGGUUAGUGGCGGACGGGUGAGUAACACGUGGGAACGUGCCCUUUGGUUCGGAACAACUCAGGGAAACUUGAGCUAAUACCGGAUGUGCCCUUCGGGGGAAAGAUUUAUCGCCAUUGGAGCGGCCCGCGUCUGAUUAGCUAGUUGGUGAGGUAAAGGCUCACCAAGGCUACGAUCAGUAGCUGGUCUGAGAGGAUGAUCAGCCACACUGGGACUGAGACACGGCCCAGACUCCUACGGGAGGCAGCAGUUAGGAAUCUUGCGCAAUGCGCGAAAGCGUGACGCAGCAACGCCGCGUGGGGGAAGACGGCCUUCGGGUUGUAAACCCCUUUCAGUUGGGACGAAGCUCCGCCGGUGAAUAGCCGGCUGGAGUGACGGUACCUUCAGAAGAAGCCCCGGCUAACUACGUGCCAGCAGCCGCGGUAAUACGUAGGGGGCAAGCGUUGUCCGGAAUCAUUGGGCGUAAAGAGCGUGUAGGUGGCUCGGUAAGUCCGCUGUGAAAGUCCAGGGCUCAACCCUGGAAUGCCGGUGGAAACUGUCGAGCUAGAGUCCGGAAGAGGCGAGUGGAAUUCCUGGUGUAGCGGUGAAAUGCGCAGAUAUCUGCAGGAACACCCGUGGCGAAGGCGGCUGACUGGAUCGCAACUGACGCUGAGGAACGAAAGCUAGGGGAGCAAACAGGAUUAGAUACCCUGGUAGUCCUAGCCCUAAACCAUCAGGACUUGGGGUGGCCCGCGUAGGCGGGUCGUCCCGUAGCUAACGCGUUAAGUCCUGCGCCUGGGGAGUACGGUCGCAAGACUGAAACUCAAAGGAAUUGACGG
This 887-nucleotide ribosomal RNA is filed under the name uncultured bacterium. RNAcentral's name for it is "bacterial SSU rRNA". It matches the Rfam family "Bacterial small subunit ribosomal RNA", at positions 8 to 916 of the family's 1533-position model. The record is from RNAcentral.